GACGAACGCUGGCGGCGUGCUUAACACAUGCAAGUCGAACGGUGAAGCGCCUUCCUUUUUGGUGGGUGUGGAUGAGUGGCGAACGGGUGAGUAACACGUGAGUAACCUGCCCCCUUCUUCUGGAUAACCGCAUGAAAGUGUGGCUAAUACGGGAUAUUCUGGGUCUGUCGCAUGAUGGGUCUGGGAAAGAUAUUGUUUCGGUGGGGGAUGGGCUCGCGGCCUAUCAGCUUGUUGGUGGGGUGAUGGCCUACCAAGGCGGUGACGGGUAGCCGGCCUGAGAGGGUGGACGGUCACACUGGGACUGAGACACGGCCCAGACUCCUACGGGAGGCAGCAGUGGGGAAUAUUGCACAAUGGGCGCAAGCCUGAUGCAGCGACGCCGCGUGAGGGAUGGAGGCCUUCGGGUUGUGAACCUCUUUCGCCAGUGAAGCAGGCCUGCCUCGUUUGUGGGUGGGUUGACGGUAGCUGGAUAAGAAGCGCCGGCUAACUACGUGC
This 495-nucleotide ribosomal RNA is filed under the name uncultured bacterium. RNAcentral describes it as "partial 16S ribosomal RNA". It matches the Rfam family "Bacterial small subunit ribosomal RNA", at positions 28 to 508 of the family's 1533-position model. The record is from RNAcentral.